This 497-nucleotide ribosomal RNA is filed under the name uncultured bacterium. RNAcentral's name for it is "partial 16S ribosomal RNA". It matches the Rfam family "Bacterial small subunit ribosomal RNA", at positions 28 to 507 of the family's 1533-position model. The record is from RNAcentral.
GAUGAACGCUGGCGGCGUGCCUAAUACAUGCAAGUCGAGCGAACGGACGAGAAGCUUGCUUCUCUGAUGUUAGCGGCGGACGGGUGAGUAACACGUGGAUAACCUACCUAUAAGACUGGGAUAACUUCGGGAAACCGGCGCUAAUACCGGAUGAUAUUUUGAACCGCAUGGUUCAAAAGUGAAAGACGGUCUUGCUGUCACUUAUAGAUGGAUCCGCGCUGCAUUAGCUAGUUGGUAAGGUAACGGCUUACCAAGGCAACGAUGCAUAGCCGACCUGAGAGGGGGAUCGGCCACACUGGAACUGAGACACGGUCCAGACUCCUACGGGAGGCAGCAGUAGGGAAUCUUCCGCAAUGGGCGAAAGCCUGACGGAGCAACGCCGCGUGAGUGAUGAAGGUCUUCGGAUCGUAAAACUCUGUUAUUAGGGAAGAACAUAUGUGUAAGUAACUGUGCACAUCUUGACGGUACCUAAUCAGAAAGCCACGGCUAACUACGUG